AUGGCUCCUGAGUAUGCAAUGGAAGGUGUCUUCUCUACCAAAUCUGAUGUCUACAGCUUCGGCGUAUUACUAUUGGAGGUUGUAACUGGUAUAAGGAGAAAUUCCAAUUGUGAAACUAUGGGAUUUUCCAGCCUCGCUCUUCAUUCAUGGAAUAAGUGGAACGAAGAAAAGACUGAGGAACUGCCAGACUCGUCUAUCAUAGAUACUUCACCAGACGAAGUUCUGCUUUGCGUCCAUGUAGCACUCUUGUGUGUGCAGGAUAACCCAGAUGACAGGCCACUCAUGUCAUCUGUUGUGUUCGUCCUAGAGAAUGGAAGCAACACACUUACAUCCCCCAAUCGCCCCGCCUACUUUUCGCGACGAAGUACUGAAGUGGAUCAAAUAAGACAAGAUAUUCAAACUUCCGUCAAUAGUUUUACUCUUACUGAGAUAGAGGGACGAUGUACCUAA
RNAcentral lists this ribosomal RNA (450 nucleotides) under Triticum aestivum (bread wheat). Its description in RNAcentral is "partial small subunit ribosomal RNA". The record is from RNAcentral. Lineage: Eukaryota; Viridiplantae; Streptophyta; Magnoliopsida; Poales; Poaceae.